This is a non-coding RNA of Jejuia pallidilutea, 41 nucleotides long. NCBI's taxonomy places the organism in Bacteria, Pseudomonadati, Bacteroidota, Flavobacteriia, Flavobacteriales, Flavobacteriaceae. The record is from Rfam.
GGUUAUCGAAGGAUAAGAUUAAGACCUUAAUUCAUAACUAC